RNAcentral lists this ribosomal RNA (429 nucleotides) under Bacillota bacterium. RNAcentral's name for it is "Firmicutes bacterium partial 16S ribosomal RNA". It matches the Rfam family "Bacterial small subunit ribosomal RNA", at positions 355 to 776 of the family's 1533-position model. The record is from RNAcentral. Lineage: Bacteria; Bacillati; Bacillota.
UAGGGAAUCUUCGGCAAUGGACGGAAGUCUGACCGAGCAACGCCGCGUGAGUGAAGAAGGUUUUCGGAUCGUAAAGCUCUUUUGUUAGAGAAGAACGUUGGUAGGAGUGGAAAAUCUACCAAGUGACGGUAACUAACCAGAAAGGGACGGCUAACUACGUGCCAGCAGCCGCGGUAAUACGUAGGUCCCGAGCGUUGUCCGGAUUUAUUGGUCGUAAAGCGUGCUCAGGCGGUUCUUUAAGUCUGAAGUUAAAGGCAGUGGCUUAAAAAUUGUACGCGUUGGAAACGGGAGGACUGGAGUGGAGAAGGGGAGAGUGGAAUUCCAUGUGUAGCGGUGAAAUGCGUAGAUAUAUGGAGGAACACCGGUGGCGAAAGCGGCUGUCUGGUCUGUAACUGACGCGGAGGCUCGAAAGCGUGGGGAGCAAACAGG